Molecule: small RNA, 29 nt
Filed under: Bombyx mori (domestic silkworm)
Lineage: Eukaryota; Metazoa; Arthropoda; Insecta; Lepidoptera; Bombycidae
Description: ovarian small RNA-27585
Source: RNAcentral
UCCGUAUAGUGCCGUCGAUCGCACGGGUU